This 468-nucleotide ribosomal RNA is filed under the name Microbacterium sp. 'ARUP UnID 404'. RNAcentral describes it as "bacterial SSU rRNA". It matches the Rfam family "Bacterial small subunit ribosomal RNA", at positions 27 to 506 of the family's 1533-position model. The record is from RNAcentral. Lineage: Bacteria; Bacillati; Actinomycetota; Actinomycetes; Micrococcales; Microbacteriaceae.
GGAUGAACGCUGGCGGCGUGCUUAACACAUGCAAGUCGAACGGUGAAAGCGGAGCUUGCUCUGCUGGAUCAGUGGCGAACGGGUGAGUAACACGUGAGCAACCUGCCCCGGACUCUGGGAUAACAGCUGGAAACAGCUGCUAAUACCGGAUACGAGCUGCGAAGGCAUCUUCAGCAGCUGGAAAGAAUUUCGGUCUGGGAUGGGCUCACGGCCUAUCAGCUAGUUGGUGAGGUAAUGGCUCACCAAGGCGUCGACGGGUAGCCGGCCUGAGAGGGUGACCGGCCACACUGGGACUGAGACACGGCCCAGACUCCUACGGGAGGCAGCAGUGGGGAAUAUUGCACAAUGGGCGAAAGCCUGAUGCAGCAACGCCGCGUGAGGGACGACGGCCUUCGGGUUGUAAACCUCUUUUAGCAGGGAAGAAGCGAAAGUGACGGUACCUGCAGAAAAAGCACCGGCUAACUACGU